Molecule: long non-coding RNA, 411 nt
Organism: Pipra filicauda (Wire-tailed manakin)
Lineage: Eukaryota; Metazoa; Chordata; Aves; Passeriformes; Pipridae
Exons: 3
Source: RefSeq, a predicted model, not a curated record
CCUGGAGAGGCAGCUGGGUGAGGACAUGUCCUCAUUAGCCUUCUAAUGUCCAAACUGCUCCAGUUUACUGGACCUGAGCUCCCACUGCGGGGAAAGAAAGGGAUUAUUUGCUGGCCCUGUUUCAGAGACGGUCCUGUGAAGGUCUGAUCUCCAGCCUCACAGGAGCUGAGCACCAAUCCCAACCACACAGCACACUGCAGGCAUCUCUCAGCCUUGAGUUUUUGCUUUUUUAAUUUCCUGUGGCCACAGAGCACCACUGGAGGGUCUCCCAGGGACGGCAUUUCUCAUACGCUGUGGACAAGAUCAGGAUUCUCGACAGCCCCAGGACAGCUCUGUGCCAUAGCCAGACAGUGCAGUUCUCUGAGCUGAAUCAGUUGAUGGGGAUUUUUUUUCCUCAGAGUAUGUAAAUAA